UUCCCGGUGACGGAACGUCUCCAGCCUC
RNAcentral lists this small RNA (28 nucleotides) under Bombyx mori (domestic silkworm). RNAcentral describes it as "ovarian small RNA-9573". The record is from RNAcentral. Lineage: Eukaryota; Metazoa; Arthropoda; Insecta; Lepidoptera; Bombycidae.